UUGCCAUGAUGUUCAAAAUUUCGACUCCCACUGUAUCUAUCGUGACGUUGUUUUGUUUACAUCAUCAAGAAAAAAAAAGUGCAGUUUCGUUAGCCGAACUAUACCAUCCAAUAUUUACGAGGGAGAAGCACGAAGUUCAUCCGAAAUCACCGACGAUGUGGAUAUGGAGGAAGAGAAUCUUUUGGAUGGAAGUGCAGAGAAUCCGCUUGCCAGAUUUCGUUCCAGUAUCCGGAUAAAAACGUAUCAUUCAGUGAAUGGAAUAAACAAUUAAUGUACAAUAUAACGUAUUGGAUACAAUACAGCUGCCUGCAGGCAAUCUUGACAUUUCAAAACAACGAACCUAUAGAGAAGCACCAAACCAUCAGAUCCCAUCAAACCGAUCUAAAAGUGGUGGAUUCGGUAUUGGCUCAAGUUAUAAAGUUUAUUCGCAAAUUUUAUAAGGCUGAUGAGGAUGGAUAGAUGACAAAAAUGGCCUUAUUGGCGUUAUGGAAUUCAUGGAUAUACGAAACUUACAAUGAAUAAUAAAUUUUAUUAAAAACAAGAUUAAAAGAUAAAAAAGGGACAGUUUCAGCAACAUCCAAAGACGGGGAAAAGGGAAAAAAAUGUAGCAGGUCGUUGGAGAUAUUAUCGUCAGUGUAUUCAAAGGAUUAAAGUGAUCCACGCGUCUUACUGCAUUGCAAUCGUCUCAUCCAAGGCGAGUUCAGCCCCUCUGGCUCUGGCUACAGAGUACAAUGAACCAGCCUUGGUUUCAUCGUAAUGUUAUCCCAACUCUUCGCAUCCUUCUCCCUUCCAUCAUGAUACCGCAGACAGACGUUCAAGUUAGACUCAGCCACUUGUGUAAAAACAUGGCCGCCACAAAUCGCCAAGUGGCAAUAAGCUAACAGAUGGCGUUAAUGGCGUAUGCGUCCCGCCGCCACCCCGAUCACAUUUCGUUGACAGCAUGACACACAACCGCUCCCACAGCCGACGUGCUCAACGCUCAAAACUAUG
This is a long non-coding RNA of Aedes aegypti (yellow fever mosquito), 990 nucleotides long. RefSeq lists it as uncharacterized. The transcript is spliced from 3 exons. NCBI's taxonomy places the organism in Eukaryota, Metazoa, Arthropoda, Insecta, Diptera, Culicidae. The record is from RefSeq and is a predicted model, not a curated record.